This 496-nucleotide ribosomal RNA is filed under the name uncultured bacterium. RNAcentral's name for it is "partial 16S ribosomal RNA". It matches the Rfam family "Bacterial small subunit ribosomal RNA", at positions 29 to 507 of the family's 1533-position model. The record is from RNAcentral.
AUGAACGCUGGCGGCGUGCCUCAUACAUGCAAGUCGAGCGAACGGACGAGAAGCUUGCUUCUCUGAUGUUAGCGGCGGACGGGUGAGUAACACGUGGAUAACCUACCUAUAAGACUGGGAUAACUUCGGGAAACCGUAGCUAAUACCGGAUAAUAUUUUGAACCGCAUGGUUCAAAAGUGAAAGACGGUCUUGCUGUCACUUAUAGAUGGAUCCGCGCUGCAUUAGCUAGUUGGUAAGGUAACGGCUUACCAAGGCAACGAUGCAUAGCCGACCUGAGAGGGUGAUCGGCCACACUGGAACUGAGACACGGUCCAGGCUCCUACGGGAGGCAGCAGUAGGGAAUCUUCCGCAAUGGGCGAAAGCCUGACGGAGCAACGCCGCGUGAGUGAUGAAGGUCUUCGGAUCGUAAAACUCUGUUAUUAGGGAAGAACAUACGUGUAAGUAACUGUGCACAUCUUGACGGUACCUAAUCAGAAAGCCACGGCUAACUACGUG